This 484-nucleotide ribosomal RNA is filed under the name Proteus mirabilis. Its description in RNAcentral is "bacterial SSU rRNA". It matches the Rfam family "Bacterial small subunit ribosomal RNA", at positions 37 to 509 of the family's 1533-position model. The record is from RNAcentral. Lineage: Bacteria; Pseudomonadati; Pseudomonadota; Gammaproteobacteria; Enterobacterales; Morganellaceae.
GAGCCAUGGCGCAGCUACACAUGCAGUCGAGCGGUAACAGGAGGAAGCUUGCUUUCUUGCUGACGAGCGGCGGACGGGUGAGUAAUGUAUGGGGAUCUGCCCGAUAGAGGGGGAUAACUACUGGAAACGGUGGCUAAUACCGCAUGACGUCUACGGACCAAAGCAGGGGCUCUUCGGACCUUGCGCUAUCGGAUGAACCCAUAUGGGAUUAGCUAGUAGGUGAGGUAAAGGCUCACCUAGGCGACGAUCUCUAGCUGGUCUGAGAGGAUGAUCAGCCACACUGGGACUGAGACACGGCCCAGACUCCUACGGGAGGCAGCAGUGGGGAAUAUUGCACAAUGGGCGCAAGCCUGAUGCAGCCAUGCCGCGUGUAUGAAGAAGGCCUUAGGGUUGUAAAGUACUUUCAGCGGGGAGGAAGGUGAUAAAGUUAAUACCUUUAUCAAUUGACGUUACCCGCAGAAGAAGCACCGGCUAACUCCGUGCA